GACGAACGCUGGCGGCGUGCUUAACACAUGCAAGUCGAACGGAAAGGCCCUGCUUUUGUGGGGUGCUCGAGUGGCGAACGGGUGAGUAACACGUGAGUAACCUGCCCUUGACUUUGGAAUAACUUCAAGAAACUGGGGCUAAUACCGGAUAGGAGCUCCUGCUGCAUGGUGGGGGUUGGAAAGUUUCGGCGGUUGGGGAUGGACUCGCGGCUUAUCAGCUUGUUGGUGGGGUAGUGGCUUACCAAGGCUUUGACGGGUAGCCGGCCUGAGAGGGUGACCGGCCACAUUGGGACUGAGAUACGGCCCAGACUCCUACGGGAGGCAGCAGUGGGGAAUAUUGCACAAUGGGCGGAAGCCUGAUGCAGCAACGCCGCGUGCGGGAUGACGGCCUUCGGGUUGUAAACCGCUUUCGCCUGUGACGAAGCGUGAGUGACGGUAAUGGGUAAAGAAGCACCGGCUAACUACGUG
This 468-nucleotide ribosomal RNA is filed under the name uncultured bacterium. Its description in RNAcentral is "partial 16S ribosomal RNA". It matches the Rfam family "Bacterial small subunit ribosomal RNA", at positions 28 to 507 of the family's 1533-position model. The record is from RNAcentral.